GUUGGCUUAGAAGCAGCCAUCAUUUAAAGAAAGCGUAAUAGCUCACUGGUCGAGUCGGCCUGCGCGGAAGAUGUAACGGGGCUAAACCAUGCACCGAAGCUGCGGCAGCGACACUCAGGUGUUGUUGGGUAGGGGAGCGUUCUGUAAGCCUGUGAAGGUGGCCUGUGAGGGUUGCUGGAGGUAUCAGAAGUGCGAAUGCUGACAUAAGUAACGAUAAAGCGGGUGAAAAGCCCGCUCGCCGGAAGACCAAGGGUUCCUGUCCAA
This 264-nucleotide ribosomal RNA is filed under the name Salmonella enterica. Its description in RNAcentral is "partial 23S ribosomal RNA". It matches the Rfam family "Bacterial large subunit ribosomal RNA", at positions 1100 to 1362 of the family's 2925-position model. RNAcentral also lists the same sequence under 2 other names. The record is from RNAcentral. Lineage: Bacteria; Pseudomonadati; Pseudomonadota; Gammaproteobacteria; Enterobacterales; Enterobacteriaceae.